Molecule: small nuclear RNA, 131 nt
Filed under: Diabrotica virgifera virgifera (western corn rootworm)
Lineage: Eukaryota; Metazoa; Arthropoda; Insecta; Coleoptera; Chrysomelidae
Description: U11 spliceosomal RNA
Rfam family: U11 spliceosomal RNA
Source: Rfam by way of RNAcentral
AAAAAGGGUGCUUGUUACUGGAUAGCACACGAGUUCUUAUGGGCUUGUGGGGUAUGGUAAUCAAGACAUACCCAGCACGUAAUUUUUGUUCCCGUGGGGCUGUUUAUAGGCAAUGUCUCAUAGACGCCCCC